GUCCGUCAGAACUUUGGUUCUGGUGGUUCUACUGGCUGAUGUUCUGAAGAUGUUCCAGGGCCUGGUCUUUGGUCUGAGAUAAACCAGGGUUUUACCCUCUGACCUUAUGAGCCUGGUCCAUGGACUGCUUCCUGAAGUCCAGCUCCUCGUCCAGAUACUCGGUGCAUGCUCUGCAGACCAGCUUUGUCCUGAUCUCCAAGCUUCAAUAAGCACGCAUCUUUUGCUUCAAAGCUGAUUUUGUCACCUCGAUGGACUCCAGCCACUAAGAGAGAAAACACAGAGAACAGAACCGACAGCUCGUUCCUCAUAUGAUGUCAUCCAACACAGAUGAAACUGUGAUUCUAACGCAAAGAAAACAAUAAACACACUGACAAAAGAAGAUGGAGUUCUUGUUAAGGAUGGAGGGUUUGA
Austrofundulus limnaeus is the source of this 411-nucleotide long non-coding RNA. RefSeq lists it as uncharacterized. Lineage: Eukaryota; Metazoa; Chordata; Actinopteri; Cyprinodontiformes; Rivulidae. The transcript is spliced from 4 exons. The record is from RefSeq and is a predicted model, not a curated record.